UUGAUUGAUUGUUAUUCAAUACUCCGACGCAAAGACGCAGUGUGUUGGGUUGGACCUCUGGGGGACUCCCGGCGCGACGUCCGGGUCGCCCCCCGAGGCAACAGAUAUGAAUCGACAAAGGGUUGGGAGGUUGGGCGCGAGGGCCCGCACUCGGUAAUGAUCCCUCCGCAGGUUCACCUACGGAGA
RNAcentral lists this unclassified non-coding RNA (186 nucleotides) under uncultured fungus. RNAcentral describes it as "sequence contains ITS1". The record is from RNAcentral. Lineage: Eukaryota; Fungi.